This 426-nucleotide ribosomal RNA is filed under the name Megaselia scutellaris. RNAcentral describes it as "partial 16S ribosomal RNA". Lineage: Eukaryota; Metazoa; Arthropoda; Insecta; Diptera; Phoridae. The record is from RNAcentral.
UUUUAGAAAUUAAUUUAAAGUCUGACCUGCCCACUGAAAAUUUUUAAAUGGCCGCAGUAUCCUAACUGUGCAAAGGUAGCAUAAUCAUUAGUCUUUUAAUUGAAGGCUGGAAUGAAUGGUUGAAUGAAAUAUUAACUGUUUCAUGUAAAUUUAUAAUAGAAUUUUAUUUUUUAGUCAAAAAGCUAAAAUUUCAUUAAAAGACGAGAAGACCCUAUAAAUCUUUAUAUUUAAAUAAUUUUAAUUAUUUAGAUAAAUUAAAUUAUAAUUUUUUUAAAUAUUUUAUUGGGGUGAUAUUAAAAUUUAAUAAACUUUUAAUUUUUAAUUUACAUUAAUUAAUGAAUUAUUGAUCCAUUUAUUAUGAUUAAAAAAUUAAGUUACUUUAGGGAUAACAGCGUAAUUUUUUUAGAGAGUUCAUAUUGAUAAAAA